GUUAAUGUUUUUUCUGUUCGUAGUUUCUGCCAAAAAAAAAAAGUGCAUAAUAUAAUAAAAAAGUGAAGUAAACCAAAGGAAAUUAGAUUCCCUUUCUCUGUCCUCUUAUUUUUCAAUUUCAUCUUCAUGGUUGGAAUUAAGAUAGUAACCAAAGCUUUGUAUUCGACAAUUCAAUUAGGCUUGGAUAUCAUCUAAAACAAGAAAUAAUGUGGUUUGGUUGUUAGAUUCAGUAGUAUGUAUAAUAGAGUGACAUAAACAAAAUGGCGAUUUGUGAGCUUUCUCUCUCCUCUUCAUUUACAUUUCUUCAACUUUCAGAAAAAUGGAAGGGAACCAGCCUGAAAAGCAUCCUGAAAAAAAGCAAUUGAAGAGGAACAUAAGUUCUGGUUGUGAAUUUAAAGACGGUGAGACAAUUGCAUUCUUAAAGAAGAGCAACAAGAAAGGAUCAAAGAGUUCCAAAAUGAUGAAAUGAGGCCAUCGACCACCAUCAAUCAACAGUUGUUGAACGACAUCAACAACACAUUUAACACAAUUGCAACAGAUAAAUCACCUUGAAAGGAAAACGCAGAAAGAGGUAGCUGUAAGACUUUCAAAAGCAAAAGCCAUAGAGAAAAUGAAAGAGAAGGAAACUUGAAGGCCUUGAGAAGAGUGGUGUAACGACUAAACCAAAAUCUGAACCAGAAGAGGCAACCAAGAAAAGAAAGCUAGGGGAGAAAUAAUGCUCACAAGUACUGUCGUGUCUGCAGGUCAAGAUGUGUCGCCUGAAAAGGUCGUGAGUAGAUUCAAGCGACCGACGACAAGGGAUAGACGACCAGAAGCUAGGUUAAGAUUGUUGGUCAAGACCCAAGGUUCAGCGCCGUCAAGAGGUUUGAUCAGGUCAAAGGAGCAAUCAACAACCAAUUAAGCUGUUGCAUACGGGCGGAAGACGUGCAGAAGUUGGCCACAACUAACUCCUAUUUUCCGAGGAUUCUCCUAACUAAUCUAUCAGUUACCCUAAAAGCUAUAAAAAGAGGAGGCCAUGCCAAGCAAAAGACACGUUCACUCAAGCACUCAAGCAUCCAAGCAAUAUAACAUUAUUAUUCUAGCAAUCAUUAAACAAUCAUUGUAUUUUCAUUAAGGAAAACAUUCUUUUUUUUUUUUACUUAGAUUAUUAGGGAUAUUAGUGGAUUGGUAACCUCAUUGCUACCUGCGGUUUUUCUCCCUAUUCCUGAAUUUUCUGCAUCACC
This is a long non-coding RNA of Spinacia oleracea (spinach), 1223 nucleotides long. RefSeq lists it as uncharacterized. The transcript is spliced from 4 exons. The record is from RefSeq and is a predicted model, not a curated record. NCBI's taxonomy places the organism in Eukaryota, Viridiplantae, Streptophyta, Magnoliopsida, Caryophyllales, Amaranthaceae.